CCCAUCCCUUUAUGAAAAUCUCUGAAUACGCUACUGGACCACUGUUGCCUAUAUUUACCAUGGGUUGGCUAUUUAUGUAAAGAAGGACAAGUUAAAAUAGAUGGUAUACAUGUUCAUAUAAGAUUUUUCAAGCUACAAAUCCUUACAUUUCUACGGUAUAUGACAUGUGUUAUUGAAGUUAGUCGAAGAAGUUAUGUUAAGCCAAACAUAUCAAUAAGGGAUCUACCAUUUGAUUUUUAUAAGGGGGAUGAAAUUUGGC
Molecule: long non-coding RNA, 259 nt
Filed under: Mytilus galloprovincialis (Mediterranean mussel)
Lineage: Eukaryota; Metazoa; Mollusca; Bivalvia; Mytilida; Mytilidae
Source: RNAcentral